CAGUAGUUUAUCUACGAUCAAAGUUUAUUACAUAAUUUUAGUAAUUGCCGAAUUUACUAUAGUAGGUGCAGUUAUAAAUACAGAAAGUUUAUGCAUGUUACGACUUUAAGGUCUGGAGCUGCUGUCUUUGGCGUGUACCCGGAAUUUAAUCGAUACCACGGAGUCGAUCCUGGCGUAACGAUUUAUAAUGAAUGGUUCCGCUGUAUGGAAUCCCUGUACCUGACCAAUUCCAAGCUGACUAGGCCAAGACUGUUUAAGGGCAAUUUUCGUCUAAAACAAUCAUUUUCUCGUGAGUUAGCUGUAGCCACUUGAAUAGACUUAGCAUUGGCUUUGGAAUCUAUUUGCGGAUGUGAUCCUAUGUUACUGGAAGGAAAAGACCAUCUUGGAUAUGAAAACUAUCUACAAAUGCCAUGCUAUGCUACUGGAAAGAAUGGUAAUCCUGGAGACAGGUCAUAAAGGUCAUCCUGUACUGUAAAGCUCGGAUGACCUUUCGUUAUAAGCAGACUGCCGUUAUCGACAUUGCAGGUAAGGAAAUAAUAAUUACAGUGUUUUCAUGACCUUUCAUUGAAUACGAAAUGUGCGCAUAAUUAUGGCGUAAUAUUCAGAUUUUUGCUCUUUCCACAACUUUUACCAGUUUACCUAAAUUGCAUCUCAAAAAAUUUUUAACUUUUGUAAGCAAUGUAUUUAAAAAUCUUUUUGUGUAACUAGAUAUGAUAAUACCAAACUAUCAAUGUAAACUGAUAAAAUUAAAAAUUAUAAUCACUACCGCAAUAUAAUGGCAAAAGUUGUGAUCACAACGGAUGAUAAGAAUUUGUUAAAGCAAAUGCAGUUACUAAUUUGUAUUUCAAACUUUAUUGGUCUUUGAUAUUUAAUUAAUUAAAGUGUAGCGCCCUAGUAAAGUUUAACAAAUACCGCGAACUUCAUCAGUAGUGCAACUGCAAGUAAAAUCACUUCAGCUCAACUAUUGCCCUGCCGAAUUUACUAUAUUGUUUUUAGGUUGUCUGGACAAAGCAGAAACUCCAAAAUCACUAUUCCGCAUUAUGAGGCCUCAUAAACCUGUUUUAAAACUGGAAUAUUAAACAUCUGGAUAAAUAAAAAUGAAGAAUGUAUUUAAUUGCAUAUGCACCGAAGGAAAUCCACAUAAUCCAGAGGACCGAAACAGCGACAUAAAAUUCACAACUGUUUCUCCUUCUGUCGCAUCAAAUUUAUGUGAAACGAUCGGCUCUGUUUAGCAUUAUCAAGAAAAAAAUUUAGAGACUGGCGAUAUUUUAUGAGCAAUGCUUCAGUAGUGACGUGAAUACAACCGUGGAAAAGAAUGUAUCCUGUUAAUAAUUCUGAGCCAAAGAUUGUGGACCGCUUUUCAAUUGUGGAUGAUUGCAACUGCACAAGCGUGUGAUUCGUAUCAUUUUUCUCACGCGCAAACAUAGCAUCAAAUAACGAUGUGCCGAUUAUGUACUACACAGCUGUGGCCCUGUUAAGAAGCAGAUUAUCGUAUCGUAAAUCAUUUACGUUAUCAGUGCGGACUAAACGGAAGUUAGUUGCAGAGUUUAAAUGUAAGUGCUUAUGUGC
Long non-coding RNA from Paramacrobiotus metropolitanus, 1569 nucleotides. RefSeq lists it as uncharacterized. The transcript has 3 exons. The record is from RefSeq and is a predicted model, not a curated record. NCBI's taxonomy places the organism in Eukaryota, Metazoa, Tardigrada, Eutardigrada, Parachela, Macrobiotidae.